This is a long non-coding RNA of Gymnogyps californianus (California condor), 991 nucleotides long. RefSeq lists it as uncharacterized. The record is from RefSeq and is a predicted model, not a curated record. The transcript has 5 exons. Lineage: Eukaryota; Metazoa; Chordata; Aves; Accipitriformes; Cathartidae.
GGUGAUGGUACCUCAAGUGCAAGGAUUUGGGCUGCUCUCUUAUCAGAGAUAGCUUCUUGUAUUAAAAUACUUCAUCAGCUGAGUUGCCAGCUCUGUUUGUGAGUCAUAACAACAGUGACAAAGAAGCCAGAGAUCAGAGCUUCUUUCUGAAGCGAGGGAGCCCUCAUGACCCAGGACUCAUUUCAGCUCUCAUGACAGCUUGAGGAUGCGCAGUCCUGGCAGUGUCACCGUACCACAAAUGGGCCUGUGGUUAGCCACACUGGCAGAGCAGACAGCUCUUCGGCUUUGAGCACAGCACAUCUUGCUGUUGCAGAGCAGAUGCCUUGGAAGGUGCCAGAUCUGCUCUGGGGACCUCCAACUCCUGCAUUCCCUUCUCCUGACUUUAGCAGGACUAAGUAUGGCAUUUCAACCUGAGCAGUGCGGUGCUGCCUCUGCCUUCUAGUCCUGCUGAAGCCACUCCUGUGUCAGACAAUAAUGGAGGAAGUAAUGCUUCCUGAUGUUUCUACUGUGACAACACAGAUCCAGUCCUUUGGCCUGGAAUGAGGGAAGUCUUUCAGAAGAGCAUCCUAAGUUUGUGGCAAAACCCAGGAGCUUUAACUUCAUGGAUGGCACUAAGUGAUGAAAGCUGAUUUGUGAAUAGGAAAUGAAACAAAGGCUAGACCCCCAACUUGUGUGCAGUCACCAUAGUUCAAGACGAAAGCUACCUAGAAGGUAUGCUCCAGUGAUGAUCCUUCUUCAUAGAUAAUCCUCUUUAUUUUUAACCAGAACAGGCUAUGUUACUUGCAAUCUUUCUCCUCUUGCUCUACUCACAUAGGGUCCAGACCCAGCUAACCAGCUCUACUGCCUGCGUACCUUGAGGAGGGCAAUGCAGAUGCACUCCCUCCUAGUGUUCCUCACCUCUUGCACAUCAUGUAAGCAACUUGGAGGCCUGUAUAAAUUUUAUUCAGCUGCUUGAGGAUAGGGAAAGGCAUAGUUCCCUCAUCUUCCUGCC